This 135-nucleotide ribosomal RNA is filed under the name Malus domestica (apple). Lineage: Eukaryota; Viridiplantae; Streptophyta; Magnoliopsida; Rosales; Rosaceae. The record is from RNAcentral.
AGACGCGAUCACACCAACUCAUGUGCACUGGAUCCCAUUAGAAUUCAAAAGUUAAACGAGUUUGGACGAGAAUAAUAUUAGAAUAGUUGACCUCCUACUUGUCAGAAAUAAAAAAGGGAUCAAGCGACUUGGUAA